AAACUUUCAACAACGGAUCUCUUGGUUCUGGCAUCGAUGAAAAACGCAGCGAAAUGCGAUAAGUAAUGUGAAUUGCANAAUUCAGUGAAUCAUCGAAUCUUUGAACGCACAUUGCGCCCGCCAGUAUUCUGGCGGGCAUGCCUGUCCGAGCGUCAUUUCAACCCUCGAACCCCUCCGGGGGGUCGGCGUUGGGGAUCG
Molecule: ribosomal RNA, 198 nt
Filed under: Trichoderma virens
Lineage: Eukaryota; Fungi; Ascomycota; Sordariomycetes; Hypocreales; Hypocreaceae
Description: 5.8S ribosomal RNA
Rfam family: 5.8S ribosomal RNA (bases 2-155)
About the family: 5.8S ribosomal RNA (5.8S rRNA) is a component of the large subunit of the eukaryotic ribosome.
Source: RNAcentral